RNAcentral lists this long non-coding RNA (2075 nucleotides) under Equus caballus (horse). RNAcentral describes it as "lncRNA (ENSECAG00000057355.1)". The record is from RNAcentral. Lineage: Eukaryota; Metazoa; Chordata; Mammalia; Perissodactyla; Equidae.
GUCUAUGCACACUGACAAGUAGCCUGAGGGCUUGCUGUUGGGUGGGGCUGGUGCCUAGGGCAGGCUGCCUGCCCCAGUUGAACUGGAUUAAAUCUGUGCUCUAGUGGGUGUGGCCAACCCCCCUGGUUUUAAGGCUAGGGCAAGAACUUCACUGGCGUCUGCCAGCGUCUGUGUCAGCGUGCCUGUACUAGGUUACAACAAUAGCCCCCACCAAUGUCUCAGUCUCUGGUGAGGUCUCACCUCUCACCGAGAAGCACCCAGAGCCUACCAGGUCAAUAUUCACAGCUAUUGGAUGUUGUUAAGGAGCAAGCACUGAGACCCAUCCCUUCUCCUCUUGUGUUCUGUUGGCGAGAAUAGACAUAAUGGCAUCCAACUGCUGAUGUGUGUUGGCGAAUGUAGUUUGAACCUGAAGUGUAAUGGUCACUCCUACUUCCACCCUGAAUCUGGACUUGCCUAUGAAGAGAUCUGGAUAUGUAGGGCAGUUUUAGAAGCCACUGGGAAGGGCCACAGGCCUGCUCCACGCACCGUAACCAGCAGGACAGUGAGUGACAAUGGUGGACCCCCUUCCUUACACACAAACACAGAAGGGUCUGUUGUAAGGAGUUAGGGAGAAGAUGAGGAGGAGGACUUGUUCCAUUUGAGAGGAAGUUGGUGGGAAUAAGAGCACAGACCAGCCGCCUUUAACCUUCUUAUUCCCAUUGCCAGAAAAUUUUACCAAUCAGAAGUGAGAUGAUUGCUCCUUGCUGUUUGCUAUGCACUCUGUGGAUUCCACGCUGAGAUCACUACAGUUGGAGAAGGAUGGCCUCUAUCAAAGCAAGUCAGAGAAACUCCGAGGAGAGAAGCCAAGGUGUCAUUUCCUGGGACCAAAUGAGAUGACCCAUCCAUUCUCCUGCCUGGAGCAUCAAAUCUCCUGUCUGGUUGCUGACAUUCUGGAGCUGAUGGUGGGGAGAAGAUUAGUGGUCUCAACAUUCAUAUGAUCUUGCCACUCUCCCUUCAAAAGGUAGAGCCUGUUUUCCCUUCCUUUGAGUCUGAUCUGUCCCUGUGACCUGUUUGGAAUCAAGUGAUACUGUGUAACAUCCAAGGAUGACCCUUAAGAGAUCUACAGCUUCCUCACUCACUUUUUGGAGUGGUCCUUCUUAGAACUCUUAUGCUAUGUUGUGAAGAAGCUUAAGUAGCUAUGUGGAGAAUCCUAUCUGGAGUAGAACUAAAUGCUCCAGCUGAACACUCUGGCUCAGCAACCUUCUGGCAGCCAGCCAUGUGAGUGUAAGCAUUUUGAACUUUCCAGAUAUCCUUCUGUCUCAGCCAACAUCGUGUGAAGCAGAAGAAAUGCCUGGUCAAUUCACAGACUCAUAGAAGAUAAUAAAUUGUUUUUGUAAGCCGCUAAAUGUUGGGAUGCUGGCUACACACCAAUAGACAACUAAAAUACUAAGUUCAUGUGACAGUUUUUUCUUCAGGAUCUCUAAUUGCCCAUGGUUUUGUAAUUUCAGAUGAGGACUAGCAAUACAGGUAUUAUGUCACCAUUUGGAAUGAUCUUUGAAAGUUUCAAGAUCUCUUUGAAGAGAAGUAAAGACUGAAGAGAGGUGAGGAGCAAUAAGCAGGUUGCCAAUACUGGAAGAGACAUCAUUUAGAAAAUAGUCUGAAUAAAAGUAAAAUUUCAUUCUCCUGAUGUUAAAGUCUCCAUAAUUUAACAGUGUACUGCCUUUCAGCUUGGCAUCCUCACAACUCACCUUUUGCUUUCUUACUACCAUUCCUUCGCCUUGUGGUUUCCUCUGCUUAAAAUGCCUUUCUCCUCUUGAAUUACUUGAUGAAUAUCCAUUAUUGUUGGAAGGCCAGCUCAAAUGCUACUUUCCCUGGAAAGACAUCACUGAUUCUCUCAGCCAAAAAUUCUGUAUAUGCCUGAAUAGGAGAUAAUAUCAAAAUUAGUGGAUAGAAUAAAAAAUGUUGGCUAACUCGAAUAAAUAAACUGUAGUGAUGUAAAUUGGUCGAAUGUCUAGUGAUAAUAUUAAAUGUAUUAAUGGAGUUACAUAGGCAUAUUUAAAAUCACAUUACAUAAAAUAUCAAUUAUUUUAGAAAUA